RNAcentral lists this ribosomal RNA (497 nucleotides) under uncultured bacterium. RNAcentral describes it as "partial 16S ribosomal RNA". It matches the Rfam family "Bacterial small subunit ribosomal RNA", at positions 28 to 507 of the family's 1533-position model. The record is from RNAcentral.
GAUGAACGCUGGCGGCGUGCCUAAUACAUGCAAGUCGAGCGAACAGAUGAGGAGCUUGCUCCUCUGACGUUAGCGGCGGACGGGUGAGUAACACGUGGAUAACCUACCUAUAAGACUGGGAUAACUUCGGGAAACCGGAGCUAAUACCGGAUAAUAUAUUGAACCGCAUGGUUCAAUAGUGAAAUACGGUUUUGCUGUCACUUCUAGAUGGAUCCCCGCCGCAUUAGCUAGUUGGUAAGGUAACGGCUUACCAAGGCAACGAUGCGUAGCCGACCUGAGAGAGUGAUCGGCCACACUGGAACUGAGACACGGUCCAGACUCCUACGGGAGGCAGCAGUAGGGAAUCUUCCGCAAUGGGCGAAAGCCUGACGGAGCAACGCCGCGUGAGUGAUGAAGGUCUUCGGAUCGUAAAACUCUGUUAUUAGGGAAGAACAAAUGUGUAAGUAACUAUGCACGUCUUGACGGUACCUAAUCAGAAAGCCACGGCUAACUACGUG